UCCAUUCACUGGUAAACAUGUAAGCUGGAAAUCGCUAUUCAGGAACAAAGGGAAAGCUGGACACACUCAUCUCAUCUUGAUCAUUGGUGGUUGCAGAAACAGAAUCAGACAUCUAAAGCAUGUGCCGCUGCCAAGUCUGCGGAGUUCUGGUGCCAAGCUGCUCCUCCACAUCUUAACAGUAGCUAAAUGUCUCAUCGCCUUAUUCUGGAAACGAUCGAACUCACCAUCACGCCCAGAUUUAUAUUCCUUUAGACUAUGGAAUACCUUUUAGCACUUUCUCACAAGA
Molecule: long non-coding RNA, 286 nt
Organism: Bufo gargarizans (Asiatic toad)
Lineage: Eukaryota; Metazoa; Chordata; Amphibia; Anura; Bufonidae
Exons: 3
Source: RefSeq, a predicted model, not a curated record